GGUGACAGGGAGCGGAACCCGAAAGCCUGUCUCAGUUCGGAUUGGAGUCUGCAACUCGACUCCAUGAAGCUGGAUCCGCUAGUAAUCGCGCAUCAGCCAUGGCGCGGUGAAUACGUUCCCGGGCCUUGUACACACCGCCCGUCAAGCCAUGGGAGCCGGGGGGUGCCUGAAGUACGUGACCGCGAGGAGCGUCCUAGGGCAAAACUGGUGACUGGGGCUAAGUCGUAACAAGGUAUC
Molecule: ribosomal RNA, 237 nt
Filed under: uncultured bacterium
Lineage: Bacteria
Description: partial 16S ribosomal RNA
Rfam family: Bacterial small subunit ribosomal RNA
Source: RNAcentral